Molecule: non-coding RNA, 135 nt
Organism: Podarcis lilfordi (Lilford's wall lizard)
Lineage: Eukaryota; Metazoa; Chordata; Lepidosauria; Squamata; Lacertidae
Source: the annotation of a GenBank genome assembly
CUUCCAGUAGCACCUUAGAGACCAACUAAGUUUGUUAUUGGUAUGAGCUUUCCUGUGGUAUCUGAAGAAGUGUGCAUGCACACAAAAGCUCAUACCAGUAACAAACCUAGCUGGUCUCUAAGGUGCUACUGGAAG